UACGAAGGGGGGCUAGCGUUGUUCGGAUUUACUGGGCGUAAAGCGCACGUAGGCGGAUCGUUAAGUCGGGGGGUGAAAUCCUGGAGCUCAACUCCAGAACUGCCUUCGAUACUGGCGAUCUCGAGUCCGGAAGAGGUGAGUGGAACUCCUAGUGUAGAGGUGGAAUUCGUAGAUAUUAGGAAGAACACCAGUGGCGAAGGCGACUCACUGGUCCGGUACUGACGCUGAGGUGCGAAAGCGUGGGGAG
RNAcentral lists this ribosomal RNA (247 nucleotides) under uncultured bacterium. RNAcentral describes it as "partial 16S ribosomal RNA". It matches the Rfam family "Bacterial small subunit ribosomal RNA", at positions 524 to 768 of the family's 1533-position model. The record is from RNAcentral.